GCAAACUUGGUCAUUUAGAGGAAGUAAAAGUCGUAACAAGGUCUCCGUAGGUGAACCUGCGGAGGGAUCAUUACCGAGCGAGGGCCCCCGGCCCGACCUCCAACCCUUUGCGAUGACCAUCUCUGUUGCCUCGGGGGUGACCCGGCCCUCGCGGCCCGGGGCCCCCGGCGGGCCAACCCAACACUCUGCGUCCCACGCGUCGGAGUCGAAGUAAAUCGUAAUCAAAACUUUCAACAACGGAUCUCUUGGUUCUGGCAUCGAUGAAGAACGCAGC
RNAcentral lists this unclassified non-coding RNA (274 nucleotides) under uncultured fungus. RNAcentral's name for it is "partial contains small subunit ribosomal RNA, internal transcribed spacer 1, and 5.8S ribosomal RNA". The stretch from base 1 to 73 matches the Rfam family "Eukaryotic small subunit ribosomal RNA", at positions 1759 to 1831 of the family's 1831-position model. Lineage: Eukaryota; Fungi. The record is from RNAcentral.